RNAcentral lists this ribosomal RNA (512 nucleotides) under uncultured bacterium. RNAcentral's name for it is "bacterial SSU rRNA". It matches the Rfam family "Bacterial small subunit ribosomal RNA", at positions 18 to 518 of the family's 1533-position model. The record is from RNAcentral.
UAUGGCUCAGGAUGAACGCUAGCUACAGGCUUAACACAUGCAAGUCGAGGGGCAGCAUGAUCUUAGCUUGCUAAGAUUGAUGGCGACCGGCGCACGGGUGAGUAACGCGUAUCCAACCUUCCCCUUAGUAGGGCAUAGCCCGGUGAAAAUCGGAUUAAUACCCUAUGUUGUGUCAUGAGGACAUCUGAAUAACACUAAAGAUUUAUCGCUAAGGGAUGGGGAUGCGUCCGAUUAGGUAGUCGGCGGGGUAACGGCCCACCGAGCCCUCGAUCGGUAGGGGUUCUGAGAGGAAGGUCCCCCACACUGGUACUGAGACACGGACCAGACUCCUACGGGAGGCAGCAGUGAGGAAUAUUGGUCAAUGGGCGUAAGCCUGAACCAGCCAAAGUAGCGUGCAGGAUGACGGCCCUAUGGGUUGUAAACUGCUUUUAUACGGGGAUAAAGGGAGGGACGUGUCCCUUAUUGUAGGUACCGUAUGAAUAAGGACCGGCUAAUUCCGUGCCAGCCGCCGC